Molecule: ribosomal RNA, 433 nt
Filed under: uncultured eukaryote
Lineage: Eukaryota
Description: bacterial SSU rRNA
Rfam family: Eukaryotic small subunit ribosomal RNA
Source: RNAcentral
GGAGAAAAGGCCUGAGAGACGGCCAUUACUUCUAAGGAAGGCAGCAGGCGCGUAAAUUACCCAAUCCUAAUACGGGGAGGUAGUGACAAGAAAAUAUUGAUAUUGGACCCAAAGGGUACAAUGAUUGAAAUGAGAACAAUAUAAAAACUUAACGACUAACAAUUGGAGGGCAAGUCUGGUGCCAGCAGCCGCGGUAAUUCCAGCUCCAAGAGUGUAUAUUAAAGUUGUUGCGGUUAAAAAGCUCGUAGUUGAAUUUCUGAAAAUAAUCUUGUGAUUGAUUUAACCGUCAUGAACAAAAAUUGUUUACAUACUUGAUAGAUGGAAACAUUUAUCUUAAUGACUUUGAAAAAAUUAAGAGUGUUCAAAGCAUGAUUCACAUUUGAAUAAUACAGCAUGGGAUAAUAUAAUAUGACAUUAGUUAAAAUUUAGUUGG